This 406-nucleotide ribosomal RNA is filed under the name uncultured bacterium. RNAcentral's name for it is "partial 16S ribosomal RNA". It matches the Rfam family "Bacterial small subunit ribosomal RNA", at positions 30 to 526 of the family's 1533-position model. The record is from RNAcentral.
AUUGAACGCUGGCGGCAGGCUUAACACAUGCAAGUCGAACGAGUGGCGGUCGGGUGAGUAAUGUCUGGGAAACUGCCUGAUGGAGGGGGAUAACUACUGGAAACGGUAGCUAAUACCGCAUACCAUCAGAUGUGCCCAGAUGGGAUUAGAUUGUUGGUGGGGUAACGGCUCACUAAGGCGACGAUCCCUAGCUGGUAUAAGAGGAUGACCAACCACACUGGAACUAGGAACCGAUCAAUACUCCUACGGAAGACAGCAGUGAGGAUUAUUGCACAAUGAGCGAAAGCCUGAGGCAGCCAUGCCGGGUAUAUGAAAAAGGCCUUCGGGUUGUAAAGUACUUUCAGCGGGAAGGCGUUACCCGAAGAAGAAGCAACGGCUAACUCCGUGCCAGCAGCCGCUGUAAUUC